GACUGGGGUGAAGUCGUAACAAGGUAGCCGUACCGGCUGGUGCGGCUGGAUCACCUCCUACAGGGAGACAAAAACUGAUCGUGAUGUCUAAAUUAUUUUUUUAGGCCAUGAUCCUGUCACCUUAGGUCGAUCGGUACCUCAGAUUCAAAGUCAAUAAAAAUUGCUCAACAGUUUUUGCUGAUAUCGAAUUUCAGUUCCUAAACUUGUCUAGGUCACACCCAGCAAGGGUACUCUGGGCCAUUAGCUCAGGUGGUUAGAGCGCACCCCUGAUAAGGGUGAGGUCCCUGGUUCAAGUCCAGGAUGGCCCAUUCGGUGUUGGGGGUAUAGCUCAGUUGGUAGAGCGCCUGCUUUGCAAGCAGGAUGUCAGCGGUUCGAGUCCGCUUACCUCCACUGAUUAACCUCCUUAUUACCAAUACCAAGGAGAAUUUCUUGUUGGCAUAGACUUGGAUAUAAGUUUUCGCUGGAUGUACCUAGCUUCUUGUCAUACCUUAAAGAUUGAAUUCUAAUAGGCUGGCAACAUGCUGGGCACACUGCAAUAGAAAUAUUGCAGUUAAGUUCAGUAGAACCUUGACAACUGCAUAGUGAGUCUGGAAAAAAUAAAGCAUCUCAUAGAUGACUUAUUCUUUCUUUUAUUUAAGUCAACUGUUAAUUCAGAGGCUAAAAAUAAUGGACUAUGAAUAAUGUCUAAUUCUUGAGCAAGAGCCGAGACUCUAUAGCGUUCUUUUAAUACCCUUAGGUUUUAAGAGUUUGAUUGGUUAUUUGAGUUCUCUCUUUGAUACUUAGAUUUCAGUGAAAACUGGAAACUAUCCUUUCUUUUAGAGAAAGCAAUUACCAAGAAUGCGUUUCAACAACGUGAAGCGUUAUAGAGAUUAUAUGGUCAAGCUACAA
This 888-nucleotide unclassified non-coding RNA is filed under the name uncultured Prochlorococcus sp. RNAcentral's name for it is "partial 16S-23S ribosomal RNA intergenic spacer; may also contain 16S ribosomal RNA and 23S ribosomal RNA". The stretch from base 318 to 390 matches the Rfam family "tRNA". Lineage: Bacteria; Bacillati; Cyanobacteriota; Cyanophyceae; Synechococcales; Prochlorococcaceae. The record is from RNAcentral.